This is a long non-coding RNA of Lagenorhynchus albirostris (white-beaked dolphin), 661 nucleotides long. RefSeq lists it as uncharacterized. The record is from RefSeq and is a predicted model, not a curated record. NCBI's taxonomy places the organism in Eukaryota, Metazoa, Chordata, Mammalia, Artiodactyla, Delphinidae. The transcript has 3 exons.
AGGAGACCCAGCCCAACCUACCCCCAUUCUUUGCUGGAAUUUUUUAUACCACAUCUUAUUCAUCUGUUGCUGGACACAGGUUGCUUCCAUAUCUUGGCUAUUGUAAAUAAUGCUGCUGUGAACAUUGGGAUACCAUUGGAUUUUUAGUCCACCCUAAAUGACUGUAUAUGCCUGAGCCCUAAUUGCGAACAGGUUCCUGUUUUUACCGUGGGACUCCUUACCCAGAGCACAGAAGAGAACAGAAACUCCUGUGCCAGCCAUGGUUCCCAGGCAGCACCCCCUUUCCACACCUCCUCGGCUUGGGAGAAAGAGGGCUUACUUGCCCUGGCCAUCUGUGCCACCAGAAGUGCUGGCAGAAAAGUGAAACAGAUUGAAAGAACAAGCAAGGAGAAUGGGGACUUCCCUGGUGGUGCAGUGCUUAAGAAUCCGCCUGCCAAUGCAGGGGACAUGGGUUCUAGCCCUGGUCCGGGAAGAUCCCACAUACCACGGAGCAACUAAGCCCAUGUGCCAAAACUACUGAGCCUGCGCUCUAGAACCCGUGAGCCACAACCACUGAGCCCACGUGCCACAACUACUGAAGCCCGCGCACUCUAGGGCCCGUGCCCUGCAACAAAGAGAAGCCACUGCGAUGAGAAGCCCAUGCACCACAACAAAGAGUAGC